RNAcentral lists this ribosomal RNA (253 nucleotides) under uncultured bacterium. RNAcentral describes it as "partial 16S ribosomal RNA". It matches the Rfam family "Bacterial small subunit ribosomal RNA", at positions 524 to 776 of the family's 1533-position model. The record is from RNAcentral.
AACGUAGGUGGCAAGCGUUAUCCGGAUUUACUGGGCGUAAAGCGUGUGCAGGCGGUCAUGUAAGUGGUGUAUGAAAUCUCCGCGCUUAACGUGGAGGGGUUAUGCCAGACUGCACGACUAGAACCCAUCAGAGGGAAGUGGAAUUCCGGGUGUAGUGGUGAAAUGCGUAGAUAUCAUUUGGAACGCCAAUGGUGAAAACAGCUUGCUGGGGGUUUGCUGACGCUGAGACACGAAAGCCAGGGGAGCGAACGGG